Molecule: ribosomal RNA, 460 nt
Filed under: uncultured bacterium
Lineage: Bacteria
Description: partial 16S ribosomal RNA
Rfam family: Bacterial small subunit ribosomal RNA
Source: RNAcentral
CCUACGGGUGGCAGCAGUGAGGAAUAUUGGUCAAUGGCCGAGAGUCUGAACCAGCCAAGUAGCGUGAAGGAUGACUGCCCUAUGGGUUGUACACUUCUUUUAUAUGGGAAGAAAACGUUCCACGUGUGGGAUUUUGUAUGUACCAUAUGAAUAAGGAUCGGCUAACUCCGUGCCAGCAGCCGCGGUAAUACGGAGGAUCCGAGCGUUAUCCGGAUUUCUUGGGUUUAAAGGGAGCGUAGGUGGAUUUUUAAGUCAGUUGUUAAAGUUUGCGGCUCAACCGUAAAAUUGCAGUUGAAACUGGCAGUCUUGAGUACAGUAGAGGUAGGCGGAAUUCGUGGAGUAGCGGUGAAAUGCUUAGAUAUCACGAAGAACUCCGAUUGCGAAGGCAGCUCACUGGACUGCGACUGACACUGAGGCUCGAAAGUGUGGGUAUCAAACAGGAUUAGAUACCCGUGUAGUC